GAUGAACGCUGGCGGCGUGCCUAAUACAUGCAAGUCGAGCGAACAGACGAGGAGCUUGCUCCUCUGACGUUAGCGGCGGACGGGUGAGUAACACGUGGAUAACCUACCUAUAAGACUGGGAUAACUUCGGGAAACCGGAGCUAAUACCGGAUAAUAUAUUGAACCGCAUGGUUCAAUAGUGAAAGACGGUUUUGCUGUCACUUAUAGAUGGAUCCGCACCGCAUUAGCUAGUUGGUAAGGUAACGGCUUACCAAGGCAACGAUGCGUAGCCGACCUGAGAGGGUGAUCGGCCACACUGGAACUGAGACACGGUCCAGACUCCUACGGGAGGCAGCAGUAGGGAAUCUUCCGCAAAGGGCGAAAGCCUGACGGAGCAACGCCGCGUGAGUGAUGAAGGUCUUCGGAUCGUAAAACUUUGUUAUUAGGGAAGAACAAAUGUGUAAGUAACUAUGCACGUCUUGACGGUACCUAAUCAGAAAGCCACGGCUAACUACGUG
Molecule: ribosomal RNA, 497 nt
Filed under: uncultured bacterium
Lineage: Bacteria
Description: partial 16S ribosomal RNA
Rfam family: Bacterial small subunit ribosomal RNA
Source: RNAcentral